This 512-nucleotide long non-coding RNA is filed under the name Brassica napus (rape). Its description in RNAcentral is "long non-coding RNA (BNAP_LNC012518)". The record is from RNAcentral. Lineage: Eukaryota; Viridiplantae; Streptophyta; Magnoliopsida; Brassicales; Brassicaceae.
GAGGGACUGUGGUGGACCCAACAAUUAUGUUUACAUGUGUCAUAAUAUAGAAUUUAAAAAAAAAAUUAUGACAAAAGUGUCAUUUGGAGGAUUGAACCCAGGUAAGAGGUGUCAAACCCACUAAAUCACCAUCUAUGUUACUGAAUCUACGCUUUUUAAUAUACAAAAGAGCUAUUUUUCAUAAUUUAACAUGUGUCAGUUGAUCCAUCUAAUUUUUUAGUGGGUCUGCCUCUGUGGAGGGAUGAUCAAAUGGGUGAGAGUGACCAAAGAUAAACAAUAUAAUAUUAUAUAAAAUAUACUGAAUACUCUGGCAUGUUUGCUGUAAUAAAAGAUCUGAUAAUACUUUGUAUUGAACAAGAUGACUUUACAUUAAGUCCCUCACACGACUUAUAUACCCAAAGAGAAUCUCAACUACUUAGAUACAAGUCUAUCUCGAAAGUAUAUUCACAACCUGUUACAAGAAUAUUUCCCAAUAUUAUCGGACUAGGAAUAUUCAUCAUCUAUAUCCCAAU